Molecule: long non-coding RNA, 1533 nt
Organism: Aphis gossypii (cotton aphid)
Lineage: Eukaryota; Metazoa; Arthropoda; Insecta; Hemiptera; Aphididae
Exons: 5
Source: RefSeq, a predicted model, not a curated record
GUUUAUUAAAUGUAUUAAAGGUAUAGAUAAUCGAUCUACAUAUUAUAACCUGCAGUACCUAUACGGUCAGUAUGCCUAUAACAUCGAUAUUGACCAUUUCAAAAUUUAAGAUUUAGUGUUUUAAUUUGAAACCUUUUGUAGAGAAUAUGUACCGAUCACUUCAGUGGAUGUAGACAGUUCGUUUUCAAUGUACAAACAUAUUCUGUCAAACAAUAGAGUCAGUUUCACUACUUCAAACCUAAGGAAAUACACGAAGGACCUAUGGACAAAAUGGGUAGAAUAAUAUACGCAUUGGACAAUUACUACAGAAGAGGAGCUAAUCAGCUAAGUUAUAAAAUGAUUUCGUUGCGAUUUUCACACAAAAUAUAUAAUUUAUGCCGUAGCUAUAGUUUUAAACGUGAACUCGAACACUUUUAAAAUACCAAAAACAUUUGUCAAUCAAUCCAGAACUGUCACACUGCUGUUCCACGUAUACGUAAUAGCCAAUAGGUAUACUACACCAGCCGUGACAAAAUAUGCAGUCAUAACAUGAAUGUAUAUUGAUGUACAAGUGUACAACAAGCGUGUGCGACUUGGAGCGAUAUACCAUUUAUACACGAUUCUAUAAUAGCUAUUAAUAGCCAAUAGGUCAAUUGCAACCCACCGGAUUUUAGGGGAAGCAGACAGUUACCACUUGCAAUAGUAUUCGGGGACAACCAAUAGCUACCUAUCACAAUAUAAUAUGACAAGUAUGUCAAUAUGUCAUGUGACUUUAAAGUUUUAACUAAACUUUUUUUUGAUUCAUGUAAGAUCAAGUUUAGGGAUUUUGUAUUAUAUAUUUUCAAAUCUCAGGUAUCAAAAUCGAACAUUUUAUGCAUUGUGGUAUUGAAAACGGAUUUAAACGUCUUAACGUAUUUAUGGUUUAGAUCCUAUGAACAACUUUUUUCCGUUUUUUAUCUUAAAAAGCUUCGUUGUUGUUGUUGUUGUUGUAUAUGCAAAAACGUAUACUACAUUUGUACAUUUUUAAAAUCAAAUGUUGAUUAGUAAAGUUGUUAAAAAACCACAAGCAGGUAUUUUAUUAAGAUCUAAACAACUAACAAGACAAUACGAUGAAUCCAAGUUUGUUUUCAAAAUCCAUAUCGUAUAAUUAAAUCGAUUAACAUUCAGUAUAUGUACCAUGUACGUAAGAUAUUGAAAAUAAGGUUCGUAUAGCAUGCAAAACAGUGUGUUUCGAAUCUCGUAGUGUUGUUUUAAAACGUUCUAUCGCUGUACGCUGUUUUUAAUAAUUGUAUUAAUCGAUGGUAAAAUAUAUCGUUAAAAUUGAACACAAUAAUUUAUAAUAUUCAGAUAACAAAUUUAUAGGUAAUAAUUAAUGUCUAUCACUUAGAAUUUCAAAAUCGACUUAACGAACGACCUUAAUGAAAAACACCUAUAUUAAAUGCCCAUCAUAAAUAACUUGUCUGUCAGUCCAACAAAAAUAAUAAGUACCUAUAGUAUUGGUAGAUAUCUACGUCGUAAUAUAAUAACGAUUCAUUAACCUCCACCGUGGAUCGC